GACAGAGGGGGCAAGCGUUGCUCGGAAUUACUGGGUGUAAAGGGCGCGUAGGCGGGAUGGCAAGUCGGUCGUGAAAUCCCUCGGCUCAACCGAGGAACGUCGAUCGAUACUGCUGUUCUUGAGGAUUGCAGAGGAGACUGGAAUUCCCGGUGUAGCGGUGAAAUGUGUAGAGAUCGGGAGGAACACCGGUGGCGAAGGCGGGUCUCUGGGCAAUUCCUGACGCUGAGGCGCGAAAAGCGUGGGGAGCAAACGGG
RNAcentral lists this ribosomal RNA (254 nucleotides) under uncultured bacterium. Its description in RNAcentral is "partial 16S ribosomal RNA". It matches the Rfam family "Bacterial small subunit ribosomal RNA", at positions 524 to 776 of the family's 1533-position model. The record is from RNAcentral.